GCCUCGGUAAUCUAAUUGGUUAGGACACUUGCGCGUAAAGCAAGCGAUCCGGGUUCAACUCCUGGCCGAAGGA
Cyphomyrmex costatus is the source of this 73-nucleotide non-coding RNA. The record is from Rfam. NCBI's taxonomy places the organism in Eukaryota, Metazoa, Arthropoda, Insecta, Hymenoptera, Formicidae.